RNAcentral lists this long non-coding RNA (3247 nucleotides) under Vitis vinifera (wine grape). Its description in RNAcentral is "long non-coding RNA (VVIN_LNC001230)". Lineage: Eukaryota; Viridiplantae; Streptophyta; Magnoliopsida; Vitales; Vitaceae. The record is from RNAcentral.
CUUUCUUUUCUAUAUACAAAAAAAAAAAAAAAAAACUAAUUGCAAACAUUCAAUUAAGAUAAUAUAUAAACUUAAAUUGAAAACUACAAUACUAUCUUCACAAGAGAUGGUCACUAAUUCUUCAUCAUCUUCUUCUUUUUGCUAUAUUUCUUGAAUACCUAGUAGGAUAGACACAACAUUAAUAGAAAAGUAAGCAACAAGUAUCAAAAUAACAAUUUUCAAAUCAUAAGGUACUUUCAAUUGCAAGAAUACAUCAAACAUAUAUGCAAUUUGUAGAUACCAUAUCUCUAGCAUUAAUCUUCAAGCAUUGCCCUCUGGAAAGACCCCAAAAUUGUCAGCACCUCUAUCUCAAACCUAUGAUAGAAAAAACAAAUGAUGUUAACAAAAAAAAAAGCUCAAAUUGAGAAAUUAGAUAUCUAACUACAAUGAAAUAUUUUUAAGAUUGAAUUCUAAGUUUAAUUAUUGUGUUUUUAUAUAAUGGACCUAAAUAACUAUAAAAUUAUACUUCUUUUUAAUUUCUAAAAGGAAUGCAAAAAGGAAAAGAGAAAACAAAAGUUUCAAAUAUAUCUUUCAUGUUAUUUUGGCUUCUAAAUAGAUAAAAACUCACAUUAUCUAAGAAAUCGUUAAAAUUAAAAUUGAGCAUAAAUUUUAAUAAUCUCAAUCAUAAAUAAUGAAAUAUCUAAAUUCAAAUUCAUAGAAACCACACUAACUAUUAAUUUCAAGCACCAAAUGCAUCUAAACUUAACAAAAUAAAAAAUCAAGGAUAUUUUCCUUCAAUUCUAAUAAGAUAAUAGAUCUUAUGUGUGCAAAUUUUGUCUUUAUUUCAAGAACUAAUAAAUGCACAAGCUGUCUAGUUGAGAGAUUAAAUCUAUAAAUUUUUAAAAGAAAUAAAUUAAUUAAAUAAACAAAAAAGGUCUAAGAAAUGGAAAAUCUCCAAAAUUAAAGAGAAAAUCAAGCACAUUUCAUAAAUGGGAAAAAGUUAUGCAAUAUGCUGCUAUUCUUUUUCAACUAAUGUGAAAUUGAAAACAUAUUUGACACAAAGUUGUGUGAGAAUACAUCUAUAAGGUUCAUAGAAAUAAUGUGUAGAUUACCAUUUAAAGCUAUGUAAACUAAGAAUGACAAAUAGCAAAUUAUAUUAUUUAUAUCUAUCAUGCCUUCUUAAAAUACAAUGUCAAAUAUUCCAUAGAUAGACAACUAUGCAUGAGUAUGAAAAUGUUGUCUAGAUGUUCCUCUCAUAGGCAGCUAAUGCAUGAGUUCAUCAAAUUCAAAACUUAACAACAAUUAAAGCUGACAAACCACCCAAUUAUCAAUUAUUAAAGAACUCUUAAUCCGAGCAAAAACUAAAACUAAUAAAGCAACUAAUAACAAAUAUAAAAGUUGCAUUGGCACCCAAUAUAAUGUUCAUCCUAAUGUAAUUGUGCUCAUUAAAACAAAAAAUUUCAUGGCAUAAAUUAAAUGAAGAGACCCCAUAUAAGCAACAAGAAAAUACUUCAUACCAUUACAGUGGUAAUUAAGGACUACAUAAAUAAUUUUAGUUGGCUUGUGACUAUGAAUUGAAGAAUUAAAAUUUUGUGAGGGUUGAUUUAUUGCUUAUCAACCAAAUAGCAUAUCAACAUUUAACAAAAGAAAGAGUUUCAAACAAUCAUGAUUUAGAACAUUAAAAUUCAGCCCUAAAAAAAAUAAAAAAAAAAACAAAGAGAAAGAACCAAACUAAAGGAGCCCAAGUAAAAAUUCAAGUGCAUAAAUAAGUAAAUUAAAUAGUUAACCAUAUUAAGGAGAAAACCAUGUCACAUUAUGCAAAUUGUUUUUGUGUGCCCAAAUAUACAGUUCUGUUUCUUUAUAUUGCAUUAAAAGUCCAAUGAUAUCGAUAUACAACUGCAAAGGAAAUAGUAGAGAUAAAAUUUGAAGGAAAUUUACUCAUAAUUAUUUUGAUUAACACAUCCAAAUAUUAUGGAUCAACAAAGAAAUCAAUUUAAAGAAAACAAAACAUCAGCCUUUACGAGCAUAAAAUGAAAUAGGAAUAUAUCCAAAACCCUUGGACCUUUAACCCAUUGAGCUACAUAGGAGGAACCUUAUCUGACCCUACAUUUCACAUUUGACAGCCAUCAGUUUUUUAAACAAUUAUAAUUUUUUUUAUUUAUUUUACAUCCAUUAUUUAAUUCAAUACAAAUAAAAGAGCAAGAAAAAUAGGUUGAACAGAAAGAGAAGAGGGAAAGAUUUUGGGUGAGAGGCCUUGGAGAAGAUGAAACAAGAGUGCCGAUUUUUUUUUCUUGGCAUCCAAACACAUCUUGCAGAGGCAAAAAGUUGGAAAAACUGACCUGGGGUUGUCUUAUUUUCUAGGGAAAAUGGGUUUUUUUUUUCCAGAAAAUUUGCUUAUUUUUCUACAUUUUUGCUACUAUGUAAUGGACUCUUUUCCUUGUAGUUCUUUUUCUAAUCUUUGGAGCUUCAUUCACUUAUUUUUGUUUGAGAUUUCGCUGAUGGGUCAUUGUUUAUUUGUUGAAAUGCAGAGUAAUUAUAGAUAUUUUUGAAGGAUUUUCUUUGAUCUUGAGGUGAUUGGAAGAACGUUUUCUUGGAGUUUGUAGUAUUUUUUUUUACCUUUAGAUUUUCUAGCAUUUUCUUGAGAAAAUCGAGAUGGGUGUUGUUAAUGUGGUGUCAUUUUUGUUGCAGAGAUACAGAAAUGGAUAAGGAAGGGAAUAAUCAGAAAUGGUGUAGAGGUUUGGAACCCGACUUUCUAUUGAGGUGGGGAAACAGGAAAAGACUUAGAUGCGUGAAAGUCAAAGAUGGAAGAAAUAAAUCAGACUGUUUAGGUAGCAAGAAAAUCACCUCUCGUGUUGAUCGCUGUGUUAUCACUGCCGAGAAAGAGACUCCCUAUCCACAAACCCAUUGUCUGAAUAGAUAAUGAUGACCAUAGGUGGUGCAUGAAGAGAAGGUGUGGUGGAGCUAAUAUGGGCGGCGACAAGUGGCUGUCAACGGUGGGCGAUGAGAAUGGUGGCAGAAGGGGUCGCCGUAGUAGGAUCGUGGAUAUGGUGUGCAGCCGACUGUGGUUGGCGUAACCGAUUGUGGUUGGUCCAGCCGGCGAUGACGACGAGGGAAGGCAUGGUGAAGAUGGGAAGGUGAAAGAGUGAGAAAGGAAAAAAAAUGGAGAGAGGGAGAUGGGUAAGUGGCAUGGGUAUGGAGAGAGAACGGGAAAGAAAUAGGAAGGAGGAAAGAAGAAAAAUAGAGAAGGAAUGGAGAGUGGCGGUGGCAG